UACAGAGGUGGCAAGCGUUGUUCGGAAUUACUGGGCGUAAAGGGCGCGUAGGCGGCCAUCUAAGUCAGACGUGAAAUCCCCCGGCUUAACCUGGGAACUGCGUCUGAUACUGGAAGGCUUGAGUAUGGGAGAGGGAUGUAGAAUUCCAGGUGUAGCGGUGAAAUGCGUAGAUAUCUGGAGGAAUACCGGUGGCGAAGGCGGCAUCCUGGACCAUUACUGACGCUGAGGCGCGAAAGCUAGGGGAGCAAACGGG
This 253-nucleotide ribosomal RNA is filed under the name uncultured bacterium. RNAcentral describes it as "partial 16S ribosomal RNA". It matches the Rfam family "Bacterial small subunit ribosomal RNA", at positions 524 to 776 of the family's 1533-position model. The record is from RNAcentral.